GGGGAAGUAUUGCACAAUGGAGGAAACUCUGAUGCAGCGACGCCGCGUGAGUGAAGAAGUAGUUCGCUAUGUAAAGCUCUAUCAGCAGGGAAGAUAGUGACGGUACCUGACUAAGAAGCUCCGGCUAAAUACGUGCCAGCAGCCGCGGUAAUACGUAUGGAGCAAGCGUUAUCCGGAUUUACUGGGUGUAAAGGGAGUGUAGGUGGCAUCGCAAGUCAGAAGUGAAAAGCCCGGGGCUCAACCCCGGGACUGCUUUUGAAACUGCGGAGCUAGAGUGCAGGAGGGGCAAGCGGAAUUCCUAGUGUAGCGGUGAAAUGCGUAGAUAUUAGGAGGAACACCAGUGGCGAAGGCGACUUUCUGGACUGUAACUGACGUUGAGGCACGAAAGUGUGGGGAGC
RNAcentral lists this ribosomal RNA (398 nucleotides) under uncultured Lachnospiraceae bacterium. RNAcentral describes it as "bacterial SSU rRNA". It matches the Rfam family "Bacterial small subunit ribosomal RNA", at positions 355 to 769 of the family's 1533-position model. The record is from RNAcentral. Lineage: Bacteria; Bacillati; Bacillota; Clostridia; Lachnospirales; Lachnospiraceae.